Molecule: ribosomal RNA, 105 nt
Filed under: uncultured Methanobrevibacter sp.
Lineage: Archaea; Methanobacteriati; Methanobacteriota; Methanobacteria; Methanobacteriales; Methanobacteriaceae
Description: partial 16S ribosomal RNA
Rfam family: Archaeal small subunit ribosomal RNA
Source: RNAcentral
UACGGGGUGCAGCAGGCGCGAAACCUCCGCAAUGUGAGAAAUCGCGACGGGGGGAUUCCAAGUGCCAUUCUUAACGGGAUGGCUUUCAUUAGUGUAAAGAGCUUU